Molecule: transfer RNA, 71 nt
Filed under: Gongylonema pulchrum
Lineage: Eukaryota; Metazoa; Nematoda; Chromadorea; Rhabditida; Gongylonematidae
Rfam family: tRNA
About the family: Transfer RNA (tRNA) molecules are approximately 80 nucleotides in length. Their secondary structure includes four short double-helical elements and three loops (D, anti-codon, and T loops). Further hydrogen bonds mediate the characteristic L-shaped molecular structure. tRNAs have two regions of fundamental functional importance: the anti-codon, which is responsible for specific mRNA codon recognition, and the 3' end, to which the tRNAs corresponding amino acid is attached (by aminoacyl-tRNA synthetases). tRNAs cope with the degeneracy of the genetic code in two manners: having more than one tRNA (with a specific anti-codon) for a particular amino acid; and 'wobble' base-pairing, i.e. permitting non-standard base-pairing at the 3rd anti-codon position.
Source: Rfam by way of RNAcentral
GAUCAGGUGGCCGAGUGGUUAAGGCGAUGGACUGCUAAUCCAUUGGGGUUUCCCCGCGUGAGUUCGAAUCU